UUUCCGUAGGUGAACCUGCGGAAGGAUCAUUAAUGAACCUUUGAGGGUUGAGCUGGCGAUUUAAUUCGCAUGUGCUUACCUUCUCAUCCUUUUAUAACACCUGUGCACUUUUUGAAGGGGAAUAGUAGGUGAUGCAAAUCAUCGAGAUCCCCCUUCGAACUCACAUACACUUUAUUUAUUAUUGAAUGUUCAAACGCUUAACAGCAUUAAAAUACAACUUUUAACAACGGAUCUCUUGGCUCUCGCAUCGAUGAAGAACGCAGC
RNAcentral lists this unclassified non-coding RNA (264 nucleotides) under uncultured fungus. RNAcentral's name for it is "sequence contains ITS1, 5.8S rRNA gene". The stretch from base 216 to 264 matches the Rfam family "5.8S ribosomal RNA", at positions 1 to 49 of the family's 154-position model. The record is from RNAcentral. Lineage: Eukaryota; Fungi.